RNAcentral lists this long non-coding RNA (3635 nucleotides) under Monomorium pharaonis (pharaoh ant). Its description in RNAcentral is "uncharacterized LOC118646493". The record is from RNAcentral. Lineage: Eukaryota; Metazoa; Arthropoda; Insecta; Hymenoptera; Formicidae.
CUCUCUCUCUCUCUCUCUCUCUCGGUCUCCUUUCGUCCUUUAACCUCCGCCUUUUCUGCCUUUCGUCUUUAUCAUUCUCUUUCUGUUUUCCUCUUUUUUUCUGCUGCUAUUACUAUAUGAAUUACAUGUAUAUAAAAGGUUAAUUCCUCCAAGAUAAAAAUAAGUUACAUUUUCCUUCUUUGCCUCUUAUCAAUCAUUUAUUAUUUUUCUCUCUCUCCCCUCCCUUUCUUCUUUGCAUUUUAUUAUUUAUUUCUACAUUUACGUGCAAUGAUUCACGUCUAUUUGUUAGAAUAGAUUGCAAUAAAUUGCUUCUCUCUUGCGCAUUCUUUCUCUCUUUGUCUUGUUAUUUUUUCAUCUCGAUCUCACCGAUGGAUGCACACCGGUUAAUUAAAGCGAGAGGGUAUAAUGAGUCGCGUGCUUGGUGACUGAUGGCGCGAGAGAUAAGGAAAGAGAACGAGACGAUAAUGUGCGAAAAGAACAAAGAAAGCGAAAAAGAGAGAGAGAGAGAGAGUGAGAGUGUCUCUACCCCCUAUAUUCGAAUAAUUGUCACCUUUUGUCAUCGUUCAAUUGUACAAAUCGUUCGACAAUGAUGCUCCUCCCUGAUGGGACAAGUUUUUCAGAGAAGACGCCGAUUAAAAGGAUUUAUGGGCGAUCUUGAUAAGAAUCGUGGAAUGCAUGUUUCAGGAUCCCACAAAUUAGUGAAAAGAAUAAAAGCUACAAGUGUCGCUCGUUUUCAAUUGUUGCAGGAUGUUCAUGACAUAUGUGUUACAUAUGCAUAAAAUAUUGUUAUAUUACAUAUCUUUAAUCUUGCGCGUUUUUAUCUUUUGUUCCGUUUGACAUUAAGAUGUUAAUACAGAUCCAAUUUUAUUCCCAAAUGAUUUUAGUAUCGAAUAAAGUGACGAAAAUAAUGGUCGUUCAAUAUUUUUUAACUUUAUAAUUCUUGAGAUAUCAUUUCCGACUUAAUCAGUUCUUUGCUUUGCGCAUGUGUGUGAGAAAGAAAGAAAAAGAAGGAGAGAGAUACUAUUCUCUCUUGAUUUUUCCAUUUUCUUUUUACGUAGAGACAGAGAAUUUCUUGACGGGAGGUCCACGCCACCGGCACUACGUCAUACUAUGGAUAAACUUUAUCCUGUGAACUUAAAAAUCGAAACCUCUUUGCGGCUAACUGUAACGGCGAGGGUAAGUCUGCAUUUUUCAAGAAAGGGUGACGAAAAUAAGGAACAACGUGGAGGACAAUAUAAUUUUCUACAUCCUGUACCAACAUCCAUUGUGCGUUUUCCACCAGCUUGAUGGACUCUCAAAUUUCGUUAAAAGUCUCGCUAACGUUACCAUAAAAGCAUCUCAAGAAACUUCCCGUUUAAAACGCUUCUUUCACAAACUCUCCGUUCGUAAUUAUUUCGGAGUAUUAUUUCGUACUUCGUACUCACAAAUGACAUAUUACUAAAUAUAUUUAAUAGUUAUUGAACAUGUGUACAUAAAUUUAUUUCGCUCUUAAUAAUCCUCUCAUUAAUUAAUUACAAUUAUCAAGAAGAUUUUCUCCUGCUAAAAGUAGAUUUAGAUUUAUGAAAUAACAGCAAAUAUUCGAGAUAUACAAUAAUCGAUCAGAGCUUUGUGACAAAUGACAAAGAAAACAAUGCUUUAACACAAUAGUAAACGCGAGGAUAAGUAGGGCUAAUUCAGUCCCUAAUUUUUGUAUUUUCACAGAACGUCGAACACGGGCUCUUCGUGUUUGUAGAAUUUUAUUGCAUAUUUAUAUCUUUAUUGAAAGCUUAAUUGGAUUUGUUGUAAUUUGUAUAUUUGUUCACAUUUGUUUCACGUGAAAGCAUACACGAUGUCCUACAAAUAGGAUAGAUUUUAUUUUAAGCCAACUUAGAGAAAAUUAUAUUUUACACAUAGUGUCUUACUUUAGCUAUAAAAGAUAAUUUAUAUUCAGCUAAAAGAAUAAACAUUUGAUCCAAAUUUUAAAAAUCAAUAUAAAAUAUCUUUCAUAUAUCCGAUACUGUAUAUAAUGUACCCCUUUAAACAUGUAACUUAACUUUUCUGCUACAUCUUUUCUAAAUUUUAACAGUUUAAAAAAAGCUAAAUACGAAACUGUCACUGAGUCUAUCACCUUACGUUAUCAACUUCUCAUACGAAUCAAAUUUUCAGUGUCCUCUUGGAGGAGGAUGCGACUCUCGUAUUGCCGUGUUUCUCAGGACAAAUGCGAUACAUCGCCUUCAUGAAAGAAAUAUCGAUUCUAACGUGCGACGGAUGUUAUUGCGCUUCUCAGGAGUCACUCGAUGCAGAGACGACGGAUAAUAAAGAGAAAUGCGUUACGGAGGUAGACAUGGCGUCGACAUCAUCCCGUUGUGGACUGGCCACAAUCGCACGGCUGCUGAAGAAAUGGCGGAAUGAUAGUUGGUGAGAUACCUUUAUGAUAUAAUGGAAUGAAAGCUUUGCAAAUUGCGAGAGGAAAAGCAAGAAAGGGAAAAAGAGAGGGAGAGGGAGAGAGAGAGAGGGGGGGAAGAGAGAGAGAAACUUGGUCCAGCUUUCGAAGUAUGCGGGUGGCUUGUAGUCUUCAAUGUAGUAAUGGUGCACAUAUGUAACGACCACCCAGGUAUAUACAUGUGUACGAACACUUUAGGAAAAGUGCAGGUACAUAGAGACGUAUACGGUGUCGUGGGAUUCGCUAAGAUGGGUUCGAAGUACGUGCGUUAUUAUUAACAUCACGUACGCUAAUAUUAUUAUUAUUAUUAUUUUUACUUGCAGGAUACAAUCUUAACUUUUUCAGAAUUGCUAUACGAGUUACGUCUUUACUUUAAUAACAGUUUCGUUUCUUGUUAAUAUUUUUACCUAUUUUCAUUCGUCAUAUUCUUUUCAGGAAAGAAUUCAGAAUUGAUAUUAAAAUAUUUAUUUAUUUAUUUUUCCUAGCAAUUCGAUAAAGUUGAAAAAAUUAACAUAGUUUAUACAAUCGAUAUUAUCUCUAAUCUCAGGUGCAAAAGAAAGAAGAAGGCACUUCUAUCUUUAGCCAAAAUUAAUUUCAAUAUUUUGAUAAAUAAUUGUCGAGAUAAUUUUUUUGUUAUUAUUUCAAUAUUAUAAAAAGUGUAACGAUCAAAAUUUGUUAUCUGAAACAUUUUAUGAAAGUUCUUAGAAUUAUUUAUUAACCUAGAAUUAUUUAUCGACAUAAUCAUUCAUUGCUUCAAGUGCUCGGGGACCCUCGUGAGGAUCAUCAUGAAUCAUUAUGUCAGGUUUAUAUCAACGCAAAGAUCACAAAGGGUUAAUGGAUAUAAGUAUUGACACAUUCGUCGAUAAAGAUCGCUGAAGAAGAUGAACGAGAUACUAUAUGUGUGUGUUGAUGUAAAUAUAAUCCUGAUAGAUUUUAAAAGCCCAUGCGCACUUGAAGUACGAUCUUGCAAAAGAGAAUCCACAUGUGCUUGCGAAAUCUUACGAGUGAUUUUUGGGUCUCUCUGAGCUAAGUAAACGAGAUAUUUCUCUCUGUCCAUUUUAUUGUGGUGCAGGUAUGAAAAAACGGAUAUACGUAGGCGAGGAUAUUGGUGUGAGUUCUAUCCUUCGUUAUACAGGGUGUUCUAGCCUUUCGAUUCAAGUAAAGAACAAAAGUGAACUGAUCACUGUUAUGCAUGACCAAUUAAAAAAAAAAA